UCUCCCAUCUCUCUCUUUCUCUCUGGUUGAUAAAAAUGAGAAGAGAGUUUUGUAAAACCCUAGCCCCCAAAUCACAGCUACUGUUCUAAUCGUGUGUUUUUUUUGUGAAUCUUUUGGUGAUCUAUCUUUCCUCGUAUUCAAAAUACAUACAACCCCCGACAAUCGGCUUUCGCUUUGAUUCUUCAUCUUCCGUUUGUGCAUCUGCUGAUCUCCCUAUUUUUCGACCUCAUGGCGGCACUUUUCUAAUCAAGCAUGUGACCUAGCUAGUUCUGUUAAAAAUCUUGGGUCUUAAAACAAGCUAUUCGGGAAGUAUUCUUUCGCCUUUACCUCUUGAAGUUCUUAAUUUCAUUUUCCCUCGUUUAUUUUUGCAUUAUUUUUUUUUUGCAUUCUGUCUAUUCUUAUCUUUUAAUAAUUUUGGAUCUUUGUUAACAUUCAAAUAAAUUUUAUUGGUGUAUUUAUUUGUGUUGGUUCUGGUGAUAUUAUUUGCUUUGGUUACAACUAUGAAUGCAGGAGCUUUUUGCACAACAAUGAAUUGUAACAUUCGUGGUGGUAGUGGAGAAGUCUAGAAGGGGUAAGAAGGGGAUGUUUGAAAGAUAUUUUAUGAACUUAGUUACUAAGGCUGCUUCCGAGAAGACGAGAACUUUGAUGUACAAGACAAUUAAGCUACAAAUAUUGAUAGAAGGAAAUAAAGAAUACAUCAGUUUUUAGUCUCUUUUUUAAAAGAUGUAAUUUUGUAGGGCACUCUUUUUCCCCUUGAGUUUUUUUUCCUUAGGGUUUUACUCUUGAGGGGUUUUAACGAGACUUUUUUUGUGGGUUAUCUCUUCUGACUUGAAAGGUUAUGUUAUCUAAACAUCGAGAGUAUUUUCAUACUUUCGGUUAGAUGAAAUACCUUUUUGAAUGAAGGAAACUCUAUCCAUCCGAAUAUUGUAAAUUGCAAUCUUGGUAUAAUACAACCGUUUUAUGACAAAAUAAAAAUAAAA
This is a long non-coding RNA of Daucus carota subsp. sativus, 980 nucleotides long. RefSeq lists it as uncharacterized. The record is from RefSeq and is a predicted model, not a curated record. The transcript has 2 exons. NCBI's taxonomy places the organism in Eukaryota, Viridiplantae, Streptophyta, Magnoliopsida, Apiales, Apiaceae.